UGAUAUGAGGGUAAAAAGGUACAAAUCCGAUUGUGCUUGCACAAAAAGGAUUUGGAACUUGGGACCCGUAAAACACGAGCAUGUAGCGUUAUUACGCGGAAUGCGAGUGUUUUAGAAGCGCGUAAGCUGCAUGGCAGCGAAGCGAUUCGUGAUAUCA
Molecule: non-coding RNA, 157 nt
Organism: Lachnospiraceae bacterium
Lineage: Bacteria; Bacillati; Bacillota; Clostridia; Lachnospirales; Lachnospiraceae
Source: Rfam